CGUGUAGGCGGUUUGUUUAAGUCUGAUGUGAAAGCCCCGGGCUCAACCUGGGAAGUGCAUUGGAUACUGGCAGACUUGAAUACGGGAGAGGGUAGUGGAAUUCCUGGUGUAGGAGUGAAAUCCGUAGAUAUCAGGAGGAACACCGGUGGCGAAGGCGGCUACCUGGACCGAUAUUGACGCUGAGACGCGAAAGCGUGGGGAGCAAACAGGAUUAGAUACCCUGGUAGUCCACGCCGUAAACGAUGAGUACUAGGUGUUGCGGGUAUUGACCCCUGCAGUGCCGCAGCUAACGCAUUUAAGUACUCCGCCUGGGAAGUACGGUCGCAAGACUAAAA
Molecule: ribosomal RNA, 335 nt
Filed under: uncultured bacterium
Lineage: Bacteria
Description: bacterial SSU rRNA
Rfam family: Bacterial small subunit ribosomal RNA
Source: RNAcentral